RNAcentral lists this long non-coding RNA (517 nucleotides) under Sarcophilus harrisii (Tasmanian devil). RNAcentral describes it as "lncRNA (ENSSHAG00000031386.1)". Lineage: Eukaryota; Metazoa; Chordata; Mammalia; Dasyuromorphia; Dasyuridae. The record is from RNAcentral.
CUUAUUUCGUUGAAUGACCAAGAAGAUGCUCAUUCUGGCUGGUGUUUUUAGCUUCUCUGCUGGGCUACUGACUUGCUGCCAGAGCAAAGUAUCCAAUCCUGUAGUGAAGCUCUCCCUGCAGAGAUGGCUGAGAUCACACCCCAACUCCCUCCGGUCUGCUCGGCUGUGAGCUGCCUGCCGAGCUCCUGUUGCCGCUGCCCUCAGCCUGUGCCUGAUCUAAAACCGUCCCGCCCUCGAGUAAAAACAGACCUUUCCUGGCGAAUCUCAAGGAUGUCUUCUCUUGAUAUAUGUCUUGAUUUUCAUCAUCUCAAAUCAACUGAUUGAUAUCAGAUAACAUUGUUAUUAAAAAUAACCAACUUUUGCGAGCCAAGAAGACAAACCAUUCUACCAGACAAGUAUCUGAGUCAAGUAAACCCCAUGUAGGAUCACAGUCAGACUUGUUUGAAAUAAGCAAAUAAUAACAAGGUGUUGCAAUUAUGAAUGCUUUUUUUCCACCAUCAAUAAAAUAACUAACAGC